UAAAGGCUUGGUCCUGACUUUACUAUAAGCUUUAACCCAAUUUAUACAUGCAAGUAUCCGCAUCCCUGUGAGAAUGCCCUCAAUCCCCCGCCCGGGGACGAGGAGCUGGCAUCAGGCACAUACCCAUUAGCCCAAGACGCCUUGCUAAGCCACACCCCCAAGGGAAUUCAGCAGUAAUAAACAUUAAGCCAUAAGUGAAAACUUGACUUAGUUAGGGCUAAGAGGGUCGGUAAAAUUCGUGCCAGCCACCGCGGUUAUACGAAAGACCCUAGUUUAUAGGUACGGCGUAAAGGGUGGUUAGGGGACAAGCAAAAUAAAGCCAAAGACCUCCUAAGCCGUCAUACGCUCACGGAGGCACGAAGCCCAAACACGAAAGUAGCUUUACCAAACAUGCCCGACUCCACGAAAGCUGGGAAACAAACUGGGAUUAGAUACCCCACUAUG
This 444-nucleotide ribosomal RNA is filed under the name Hypostomus robinii (teta catfish). RNAcentral describes it as "partial small subunit ribosomal RNA". It matches the Rfam family "Bacterial small subunit ribosomal RNA", at positions 6 to 794 of the family's 1533-position model. Lineage: Eukaryota; Metazoa; Chordata; Actinopteri; Siluriformes; Loricariidae. The record is from RNAcentral.